RNAcentral lists this ribosomal RNA (580 nucleotides) under Qipengyuania flava. Its description in RNAcentral is "bacterial SSU rRNA". It matches the Rfam family "Bacterial small subunit ribosomal RNA", at positions 57 to 683 of the family's 1533-position model. Lineage: Bacteria; Pseudomonadati; Pseudomonadota; Alphaproteobacteria; Sphingomonadales; Erythrobacteraceae. The record is from RNAcentral.
GCAGUCGAACGCCCUCUUUUAGAGGGAGUGGCGCACGGGUGCGUAACGCGUGGGAACCUGCCCUUAGGUUCGGAAUAACUCAGAGAAAUUUGAGCUAAUACCGGAUAAUGUCUUCGGACCAAAGAUUUAUCGCCUUUGGAUGGGCCCGCGUAGGAUUAGAUAGUUGGUGGGGUAAUGGCCUACCAAGUCGACGAUCCUUAGCUGGUCUGAGAGGAUGAUCAGCCACACUGGGACUGAGACACGGCCCAGACUCCUACGGGAGGCAGCAGUGGGGAAUAUUGGACAAUGGGCGAAAGCCUGAUCCAGCAAUGCCGCGUGAGUGAUGAAGGCCUUAGGGUUGUAAAGCUCUUUUACCAGGGAUGAUAAUGACAGUACCUGGAGAAUAAGCUCCGGCUAACUCCGUGCCAGCAGCCGCGGUAAUACGGAGGGAGCUAGCGUUGUUCGGAAUUACUGGGCGUAAAGCGCACGUAGGCGGCUUUUCAAGUCAGGGGUGAAAUCCCGGGGCUCAACCCCGGAACUGCCCUUGAAACUCGAUGGCUAGAAUACUGGAGAGGUGAGUGGAAUCCCUAGUGUAGAUGUC